RNAcentral lists this ribosomal RNA (253 nucleotides) under uncultured microorganism. Its description in RNAcentral is "partial small subunit ribosomal RNA". It matches the Rfam family "Bacterial small subunit ribosomal RNA", at positions 524 to 776 of the family's 1533-position model. The record is from RNAcentral.
UACGUAGGGGGCGAGCGUUGUCCGGAAUUACUGGGCGUAAAGCGCAUGUAGGCGGCUUGUUAAGUCAGGUGUGAAAACUGUCGGCUCAACCGGGAGAGUGCACAUGAAACUGGCAGGCUUGAGGGCAAGAGAGGAGAGCGGAAUUCCUAGUGUAGCGGUGAAAUGCGUAGAUAUUAGGAGGAACACCAGUGGCGAAGGCGGCUCUCUGGACUGAACCUGACGCUGAGGUGCGAAAGCUAGGGGAGCGAACGGG